AUUGAACGCUGGUGGCAUGCUUUACACAUGCAAGUCGAACGGCAGCGCGGGCUUCGGCCUGGCGGCGAGUGGCGAACGGGUGAGUAAUACAUCGGAACGUGCCCAGUAGUGGGGGAUAGCUCGGCGAAAGCCGGAUUAACACCGCAUACGACCUGAGGGUGAAAGCGGGGGAUCUUCGGACCUCGCGCUAUUGGAGCGGCCGACGGCAGAUUAGCUAGUUGGUGGGGUAAAGGCCUACCAAGGCGACGAUCUGUAGCUGGUCUGAGAGGACGACCAGCCACACUGGGACUGAGACACGGCCCAGACUCCUACGGGAGGCAGCAGUGGGGAAUUUUGGACAAUGGGCGAAAGCCUGAUCCAGCAAUGCCGCGUGUGUGAUGAAGGCCUUCGGGUUGUAAAGCACUUUUGGCGGGAACGAAAAGGACUGUGCCAAUACCACGGUUCGAUGACGGUACCCGCAGAAUAAGCACCGGCUAACUACGUG
This 484-nucleotide ribosomal RNA is filed under the name uncultured bacterium. Its description in RNAcentral is "partial 16S ribosomal RNA". It matches the Rfam family "Bacterial small subunit ribosomal RNA", at positions 29 to 507 of the family's 1533-position model. The record is from RNAcentral.